AUCCUUGCUAAAGCAUGUCUCCCAAAAGUGGGCACCGGUUUUGGGACAAAGACAUGCGAAACAAAAGUCUACAGCAGGUCGCAUGAAUCCGAAUCAACGCGACCUGCUGUAGGAUCCAGGUCUGCGGCGCUCCUUCGCCGCAGGCCACCUUCCCGAAAUAUGAGUGUAGGG
This 171-nucleotide non-coding RNA is filed under the name Rhizobium sp. RU36D. RNAcentral's name for it is "Brucella sRNA CI27". It matches the Rfam family "Brucella sRNA CI27". The record is from Rfam by way of RNAcentral. Lineage: Bacteria; Pseudomonadati; Pseudomonadota; Alphaproteobacteria; Hyphomicrobiales; Rhizobiaceae.